AUGGAGUCGGAUACAUAUACUCUGUAAAAAUAUACAUACUUUUCCUUAAUUCCAUUUAAAAUAUAAUCGUUUUUAGGUAGAGGUUAUCUUUUUGUUCUUUGUUUUUUACUUUGUUAUCACACAAUCGCUUGGAAUUAGAUCUUUACUAGUGCCAUCUAUUGAUACUUAUUUUUGUAACAGUGAACUUCCAAGAGCACAAUAAUUGUGGAUUUUUUUUUUGUUAAUGAUAAAGAAAAGCAUUUCUUUAAACUAUUUUCUUAUUAAUAUUGCUAUAUUUAAAAAAUAAAUCCUAAUAAUUUGAAUAUUAUCAUUUGAUAUCAUUAUUUGUGAUACUACAGUGUAGAAGAAAUAUCAAGAGAUUUUAAAAGAUCAAGUUUGUUUCUUAUAUAAAAUAAUAUUCACUCACAAAAUGUUGAAAGCUUUAAUAAGUUUCAGUCUUGGAGUCUAUACUGGUUUAUAUCUAAGUCAGAAUUAUGAGAUUCCAAAAAUAGAUGAUCCAAGUCAGAUACUAGUAAAAUUAAAAGAAUUUGCUGAAGAUUAUAGAAGGAAAUAAACUUUACAUUAAUAUAUCAUAUGUGAUAAAUAUAAUAAUAUGUAACAUUCUUAACUUGUAAUAAUGUAGAAAUAUUUGUAUACAUAAACUUACUUUUUUAUAUUUCUUUUACUUCAUGUUUUAAUAAAUUAUUUAUUUAGACUAAUACAUUA
Vespula vulgaris is the source of this 705-nucleotide long non-coding RNA. RefSeq lists it as uncharacterized. The record is from RefSeq and is a predicted model, not a curated record. The transcript is spliced from 3 exons. Lineage: Eukaryota; Metazoa; Arthropoda; Insecta; Hymenoptera; Vespidae.